GCCGUGAUUGCAUAGUGGUUAGUACAUUGCGUUGUGGCCGCAAUAACCUAGGUUUGAAUUCUGGCCACGGCA
Molecule: non-coding RNA, 72 nt
Organism: Trichonephila clavipes
Lineage: Eukaryota; Metazoa; Arthropoda; Arachnida; Araneae; Nephilidae
Source: the annotation of a GenBank genome assembly